UCCUUUAACGAGGAUCAACUGGAGGGCAAGUCUGGUGCCAGCAGCCGCGGUAACUCCAGCUCCAGAAGCGUAUAUUAAAGUUGUUGCAGUUAAAAAGCUCGUAGUUGGAUCUGGGUCGCAUGGCUACGUGCCGUAGCUUGUAUUCUCGGCUUGGCUACGGUUUGGUCGGGUUUGUGAGUCGGUUUCGUGGCUGUGUAGCCUUUCUGCCGUGUCUGUUUCGACAGGUGCUGAUGGUUCUUCCGUUGGCAUGCUUCCGAAUGCCUUUAACCGGGUGUCGGGGGCGGACGGCACGUUUACUUUGAACAAAUUUGAGUGCUCAAAGCAGGCCUAUGCCUGAAAAUUCUUGCAUGGAAUAAUGGAAUAGGACUUCGGUUCUAUUUUGUUGGUUUUCGGAUCCGAAGUAAUGGUUAAGAGGGACAGACGGGGGCAUUUGUAUGGCGGUGUUAGAGGUGAA
This 454-nucleotide ribosomal RNA is filed under the name Microphallus sp. HAP2. RNAcentral describes it as "SSU rRNA". It matches the Rfam family "Eukaryotic small subunit ribosomal RNA", at positions 530 to 915 of the family's 1831-position model. Lineage: Eukaryota; Metazoa; Platyhelminthes; Trematoda; Plagiorchiida; Microphallidae. The record is from RNAcentral. RNAcentral also lists the same sequence under 2 other names.